CCAGACUCCUACGGGAGGCAGCAGUGAGGAAUAUUGGUCAAUGGACGAGAGUCUGAACCAGCCAAGUAGCGUGAAGGAUGACUGCCCUAUGGGUUGUAAACUUCUUUUAUAUGGGAAUAAAAUGUUCCACGUGUGGGAUUUUGUAUGUACCAUAUGAAUAAGGAUCGGCUAACUCCGUGCCAGCAGCCGCGGUAAUACGGAGGAUCCGAGCGUUAUCCGGAUUUAUUGGGUUUAAAGGGAGCGUAGAUGGGUUGUUAAGUCAGUUGUGAAAGUUUGCGGCUCAACCGUAAAAUUGCAAUUGAUACUGGCAGCCUUGAGUACAGUUGAGGUAGGCGGAAUUCGUGGUGUAGCGGUGAAAUGCUUAGAUAUCACGAAGAACUCCGAUUGCGAAGGCAGCUUACUAAACUGCCACUGACAUUGAUGCUCGAAAGUGUGGGUAUCAAACAGGAUUAGAUACCCUCGUA
RNAcentral lists this ribosomal RNA (464 nucleotides) under uncultured bacterium. RNAcentral's name for it is "bacterial SSU rRNA". It matches the Rfam family "Bacterial small subunit ribosomal RNA", at positions 331 to 792 of the family's 1533-position model. The record is from RNAcentral.